This 638-nucleotide ribosomal RNA is filed under the name uncultured archaeon. RNAcentral's name for it is "bacterial SSU rRNA". It matches the Rfam family "Archaeal small subunit ribosomal RNA", at positions 1 to 639 of the family's 1478-position model. The record is from RNAcentral.
UUCCGGUUGAUCCUGCCGGAGGCCAUUGCUAUCGGAGUCCGAUUUAGCCAUGCUAGUCGAGCGAGGUUAGCCCUCGCGGCGAACAGCUCAGUAACACGUGGCCAAGCUACCCUGCAGAGGGGGACAGCGUCGGGAAACUGACGGGAAUCCCCCAUACCGGUCUCUCGCUGGAAUGCCGAGACCGACAAACGCUCCGGCACUGCAGGAUGCGGCUGCGGCCGAUUAGGUAGUCGGUGGGGUAACGGCCCACCGAGCCGAUAAUUGGUACGGGGUGUGAGAGCACGAGCCCGGAGACGGAAUCUGAGACAAGAUUCCGGGCCCUACGGGGCGCAGCAGGCGCGAAACCUUUACACUGCACGAACGUGCGAUAAGGGGACUCCGAGUGCGAGGGCAUACAGUCCUCGCUAUUGUGAACCGUAGGGUGGUACACGACCAAGAGCUGGGCAAGACCGGUGCCAGCCGCCGCGGUAAUACCGGCAGCUCGAGUGAUGGCCGAUUUUAUUGGGCCUAAAGCGUCCGUAGCUGGCCCUGCAAGUCCGUCGGGAAAUCCACUCGCCUAACGAGUGGGCGUCCGGCGGAAACUACGGGGCUUGGGACCGGAAGACUUGAGGGGUACGUCUGGGGGCAGGAGUGAAAUC